UGGCUUUCUGUGAGGAGGCAAAUGACCUGUGUUAAUUAAGAACCUUUGCUGAAAUUCAGAUUUUAUCUUUAAUUUUUUCUUAACCAGGAAUUCCUAUUAAGAAAUACUGACAUAACAUUACAGUAAAAAUAACGAGCAUUAUUUCAGAGAAUAUGGCUCUGUGACCAACUUUUCAAAAGAACUCGCUUUUUCCUUGGACAGGAAAGAAGAGAGUAUAUAUUCAGUUAUAAAUGGCUUGGAUAAAAAGAACUCCAAGGAAAAUCUGGGGGAAAAUGGUAUUAAUUAUAUUGUGAGUAUGUAAUAUUUCAAGGUAGGUGAAAACUACUUGGUGCCUUUGGAUAACUAUUAAUUUACAGUUUGAUAGCCUGGACAGCUAUUGAUGAUGGCUGAGAUAAAACGCUUGAUAAGUUAGAAUUGCUGGAAGUGUAUUGGAGAGAUACUUGAAUUAGGGUUUUGCUCUUAGAUUGAAAAAUGGCUUUUACUAUCAAAAAAUGAAAAACACUUUUGCAGAGUCCCACUGUAAAAACAGCUAGGAGAUUCAUUACAGUAAUUGCUGAAAAGCCAAGUUCAGUAGAAGCACAUAUGGUCACCUGCAAAUUUUAGAGAAUGAAUUAAUCUAACUUCCAGAAAUUACCAGGACAGAGAGCAUUUAAAUUUAUUCGUGUUAUGUCUUUUUGAUCUUACGAAGUUAGAUCUUGCUGUAAAACUCUUGACACAAUUUCUUUUAUAUUACUUAGUUUUGAACGGCAUGAUGAGAGUCAUCACUUAAACCAAAUAGUUAAUCUUCUAAAUACAAGCUUUUCAAAAGUGGGUGUCAAGCCACAGUAGUCUCUUCCUUUUAACUCUUGCGUAACAGAGGGAGGCUUCCGAGUCUAGGAUUGACUUUACCUCCCUUUCCUGCAUAACCAACCCAAGUGGUGUUACUGGAGUUGGUACAGGAGCUCUGUUGGCAGGAUACAAGCUGCCAGAAGAGUAACUGUUGCUUUAAACGUCUCUUGUGGUGUUUUGCAAAACAGAAUGUACCAAACGUAACAUUAAUUUGACUCCUGUCUCUGCAUCACAAUUUAGCCCUUUUAUAACUUUGUUAACGGUUGCUUUGUAAAGGCUUAAUCAGCAACUGCAAGUUUUUGUGAGGAAGACCCAUGCUCCAGGUUGGAAGCGCCACCUCUGCUGCGCUCACAGCUGGAACCAGCAGUACAGAGGACGGAGGUAGGGGUAUGCCCCGGGGGGAGCGGGGUUGGGAAUCGCUGUCCUCGGCGCUUAUGGUGAGCAUCCCAGGAGUGCCCUCUGCCAUGGAGGGGAAACACUUUGCUCACAGCUGCCGGCACUGAGGCUUUGCAGGACUUCUACAAUCAUGCUAAAGGAAGUUACAGUCUAAAAGAAGUAUUUUUAUCUUAACGGUUUUGAACAUCUGUGCCAACCACCAAGGUGUCAUAAACUGUUGUAUUCCUUGCUACUUGUUAUGCAUUGUGCCACUUAUAAAGAAAUCUAAGUCACAGCUAAUGACAGGAUCACACUUUGCUUUGCUUCCACCUCCCGCUGUGUCAGAGAGUCGAGGCAGCAAGGAUGGCCUUGAGCCCCAGACACGACUGGAAGGAAGGAGAGAGGACUUCUGAGAAGCACUGUCUGAAAGAAAACUUGAAGAUGGUUGAUGAUGAAAUCUAAACCAAAGGAAACCGUGUUAGGGAUAUAUGUAGGAUCUUGGGAAUGUGGUAGGUCAGCCCCAGAAAACCAUGCAAGCAUAUUACCUGAAAGAGUAAUCUGUUCCUUGACCUUAUCUCUCAUGUAAGUAACAACCCCCCAUUGCGUAUACUCCCACUUUAAGCCUCUAAGAUUCCAGCCUCAGUAGUUUCUGGGGAGAAGACCAAGAUAAACUAAUCCACUGUCAUCAUCCAAACCUGGUGUUUGCCUGCAAAUACAGAAUAGAGCUCUCCUAUUCAUUUGAUGGAGGGUUCUCCUCAAAGCUUAAACAUAAAUGUGUUUGACACUAUAAUUGUUUUGCUCUAUGAUCUUGGGCAGAGGUUGAGCUGAAUAAUGACGUUUCUGUCCCAGUUCCACUCUAACCUCAUCUAACCACAAGACAUCCUCCUUCUUCCCCUUUUCAGGGAACCCCCGGCUCCAUGUCAGAGUCUCAAGGGAGCUGGAGGCCCUAGGAAAUCCAACCAGCUGAGAACUGCUUUCUGUUCCUGACAGACUUUGUCACUGAUGCUGUCAUGGUGCCUGACUCAAAAUGGUCCUUGAUUCGUGAUCCCUUUGCCUGGACUUAGCUACAGGACACAAGAACGUCUUGGUCGUGUCUCCCAAAACCUCCCUAUGUCUGGAAACUGGAGCAGACCACGUCCCAGAUCCAAGAGAGGUGGCCUGAAUGGUAACGCUUACUCUUUCCUGUACAUAAGAAAAGAGGAAACGGAAUUGCAGAGGGGGUUCCUAUUCCGCUACCCUCAAAGGAAAGGAAGCAGCAUGAGCAUGAAUCUCCUGCCUGGAAGAAUGAAUCAGCCAUCUGGCAGCUUGAGUUUAUUCUGAUCUUCUCUAGUGGUGAACCUCUGGCCAUUAAUUCAGACAUGGAAUUGGUAUCUACCCUCUCCUUGCUCAGUUUCUUAACUGGGUGACUGAUCAAGAGCUCUCUUUGGAUCAAGCAUAGUAAAAGUCCCUGUUGUAAAGUCUUUGUUAAAUCCUCUCUGAACUGGGUUCAAUAUCAGAAAUGGUGGACUGUGAAGCUCCUAAAGAGUAGCUAUUAUGAGAAAGAUGACACAGUCCUGUAGAAUACUUUCUCCUACAGUUUUCCACAGAACUUCUUUUCUAUCAGAUAUAAAUCCUUUCUAGGAAGGUCAGAAUUUAAAAUAUCUCUAUUUCCUUAUGCUUGGAUAACACUUUUUUUUUUUCUUUUACAUUUUUUCAUUGUAUUGGAAAGGAUGCUAGAGUGCUAAAACUAUAUAGAAACUUCAGGAUGUUCUUUGAUUUCUUCACAAAGUCUGAACAGAUGGUAGAAGCCCAUUCUGGAAUUGUUGGCUUAGAAAGAAGUGAGUGGUGUGCUAGCAGAGGAACUGCUUUUCAUCUCGUCUUCCCUGUUGUACCAAGUGGAAGGCUCAGUCCCAGAAGCAUGAUCAGUUCACGGGGAAAAUGCAGAAUUUAGGCUUUUCGGAGAGCCAGUUUUGUCCCCCAUAAAGACAACAAAUAAAACGGUUAAGAACUUG
Molecule: long non-coding RNA, 3194 nt
Organism: Aquila chrysaetos chrysaetos
Lineage: Eukaryota; Metazoa; Chordata; Aves; Accipitriformes; Accipitridae
Exons: 3
Source: RefSeq, a predicted model, not a curated record